AUUGAACGCUGGCGGCGGGCCUAACACAUGCAAGUCGAGCGGAUGAAGGGAGCUUGCUCCUGGAUUCAGCGGCGGACGGGUGAGUAAUGCCUAGGAAUCUGCCUGGUAGUGGGGGAUAACGUCCGGAAACGGGCGCUAAUACCGCAUACGUCCUGAGGGAGAAAGUGGGGGAUCUUCGGACCUCACGCUAUCAGAUGAGCCUAGGUCGGAUUAGCUAGUUGGUGGGGUAAAGGCCUACCAAGGCGACGAUCCGUAACUGGUCUGAGAGGAUGAUCUGUCACACUGGAACUGAGACACGGUCCAGACUCCUACGGGAGGCAGCAGUGGGGAAUAUUGGACAAUGGGCGAAAGCCUGAUCCAGCCAUGCCGCGUGUGUGAAGAAGGUCUUCGGAUUGUAAAGCACUUUAAGUUGGGAGGAAGGGCAGUAAGUUAAUACCUUGCUGUUUUGACGUUACCAACAGAAUAAGCACCGGCUAACUUCGUG
This 484-nucleotide ribosomal RNA is filed under the name uncultured bacterium. RNAcentral's name for it is "partial 16S ribosomal RNA". It matches the Rfam family "Bacterial small subunit ribosomal RNA", at positions 30 to 507 of the family's 1533-position model. The record is from RNAcentral.